GCUUAAGUGGUAUAGUGGUCAGAACGCUCGACUUGUAACCGAGAGGUCCGUGGUUCGAUUCCCGACGAAGGUA
Stegodyphus mimosarum is the source of this 73-nucleotide non-coding RNA. NCBI's taxonomy places the organism in Eukaryota, Metazoa, Arthropoda, Arachnida, Araneae, Eresidae. The record is from Rfam.